This 583-nucleotide ribosomal RNA is filed under the name uncultured bacterium. RNAcentral describes it as "partial 16S ribosomal RNA". It matches the Rfam family "Bacterial small subunit ribosomal RNA", at positions 355 to 1375 of the family's 1533-position model. The record is from RNAcentral.
UGGGGAAUUUUGGACAAUGGGCGAAAGCCUGAUCCAGCAAUGCCGCGUGUGUGAAGAAGGCCUUCGGGUUGUAAAGCACUUUUGUCCGGAAAGAAAUCCUUGGCUCUAAUACAGUCGGGGGAUGACGGUACCGGAAGAAUAAGCACCGGCUAACUACGUGCCAGCAGCCGCGGUAAUACGUAGGGUGCAAGCGUUAAUCGGAAUUACUGGGCGUAAAGCGUGCGCAGGCGGUUUGCUAAGACCGAUGUGAAAUCCCCGGGCUCAACCUGGGAACUGCAUUGGUGACUGGCAGGCUAGAGUAUGGCAGAGGGGGGUAGAAUUCCACGUGUAGCAGUGAAAUGCGUAGAGAUGUGGAGGAAUACCGAUGGCGAAGGCAGCCCCCUGGGCCAAUACUGACGCUCAUGCACGAAAGCGUGGGGAGCAAACAGGAUUAGAUACCCUGGUAGUCCACGCCCUAAACGAUGUCAACUAGUUGUUGGGGAUUCAUUCCUUAGUAACGUAGCUAACGCGUGAGUUGACCGCCUGGGGAGUACGGUCGCAAGAUUAAAACUCAAAUGAAUUGACGGGGUCAUAGCUGUUUCCU